Molecule: ribosomal RNA, 253 nt
Filed under: uncultured bacterium
Lineage: Bacteria
Description: partial 16S ribosomal RNA
Rfam family: Bacterial small subunit ribosomal RNA
Source: RNAcentral
UACGGAGGGGGCUAGCGUUAUUCGGAAUUAUUGGGCGUAAAGGGCGCGUAGGCGGCCCGGUAAGUCAAAGGUGAAAUCCCUCGGCUCAACUGAGGAACUGCCUUUGAAACUGUCGGGCUUGAGGCCGGGAGGGGGUAGCGGAAUUCCCAGUGUAGCGGUGAAAUGCGUAGAUAUUGGGAGGAACACCAGUGGCGAAGGCGGCUACCUGGACCGGCACCGACGUUCAGGCACGAAAGCGUGGGGAGCAAACAGG